This is a long non-coding RNA of Nymphaea colorata (pocket water lily), 747 nucleotides long. RefSeq lists it as uncharacterized. Lineage: Eukaryota; Viridiplantae; Streptophyta; Magnoliopsida; Nymphaeales; Nymphaeaceae. The transcript is spliced from 3 exons. The record is from RefSeq and is a predicted model, not a curated record.
CCAGCCAGGCAAGCACCUCCGUCGCCAUAUUUCCGGCGAUUGGCCACCCAGGCCAUGGGUUGGGCCGUCGCCAGCGUGGCUCUCCCGAUGGAUUAUGCUCCUUCCUCCUUCAGGCGCCUUGUCGGCGCUAUCAACGCUGGCCGACUACCAGCUGAAUCUGUAUCUCUCUUUCUCUCAAACGGAAACACCGACAUCCAUAUUGAUACAUGUUUCAUAUGCAGGAGGGAGGGAAGAGAUUCAAGAGAAUGAAAGUAUGCAGUGGUUUCCCUUCCUGGACAACUGCGGCCUCGGAUGGGCAAUCAACUGGUGGUAUGGUGCUGCAGUCAUCGUGGAUCCUUUGGUGAGACAUAUGCAAUGUCCAUAGUUUUCAACAAAAGGUGCUGUACAUUUUCUUAGCUCAUGGUCUGAAAUGAACCAGGAUUUUCUCCUUGAUUAUUUGUGACAUGGAAAAACUGCAAUGCUUAUGCUGCACCAUGUAGACCAUGUGUGCAAUUUCAAGCACCAAAAUGGUCCAACGGUAGACCAUUCUUGCCAAGGGUCAUGGUGCCCAGCAAAUCCUGGUGAAGUUCCAUAUGAAACUGCAGACUGCAGGUAGACAGACAGAGGCUGCAUUACAAUCUUACCAAUUAGAGUCUGGAAAGUUAUCCAUGGGAAUGAUCUGUACAGGAACGAUCGACGUUUUGAAGGGUUCUUGAUUUUGGCUACCGCAGUUGUCCCAACUUUUCACUUAAGGUCACUAUUUUUAGA